GCAUAUCAAUAAGCGGAGGAAAAGAAACUAACAAGGAUUCCCCUAGUAACUGCGAGUGAAGCGGGAAAAGCUCAAAUUUAAAAUCUGGCGGCUUUGGUCGUCCGAGUUGUAUUCUAGAGAAGUGUUUUCCGCGUUGGACCGUGUAUAAGUCUCUUGGAACAGAGCGUCAUAGAGGGUGAGAAUCCCGUCUUUGACACGGACUACCAAUGCUUUGUGAUGCGCUCUCAAAGAGUCGAGUUGUUUGGGAAUGCAGCUCAAAAUGGGUGGUAAAUUCCAUCUAAAGCUAAAUAUUGGCGAGAGACCGAUAGCGAACAAGUACCGUGAGGGAAAGAUGAAAAGCACUUUGGAAAGAGAGUUAAACAGUACGUGAAAUUGCUGAAAGGGAAACGCUUGAAGUCAGUCGCGUUAGCUAGAACUCAACCAGGCUUGCUUGGCGUACUUUCUAGUUAACGGGCCAGCAUCAGUUUUGACCACAGGAUAAAGACCAGGGAAAUGUGGCACCUUCGGGUGUGUUAUAGUCUCUGGCCACAUACUGUGAUUGGGACUGAGGAUCGCAGCACGCGCAAGUUGUGCUUAGGAUGCUGGCGUAAUGGCUUUAAACGACCCGUCUUGAAACACGGACCAAGGAGUCUAACAAACCUGCGAGUAUUUGGGUGGUAAGCCCGAGUGCGUAAUGAAAGUGAAAGUUGGGAUCCCUGUCGUGGGGAGCACCGACGCCCGGACCAGACCUUCUGUGACGGCUCUGCGGUAGAGCAUGUUUGUUGGGACCCGAAAGAUGGUGAACUAUGCCUGAAUAGGGUGAAGCCAGAGGAAACUACUGGUGGAGGCUCGUAGCGAUUCUGACGUGCAAAUCGAUCGUCAAAUUUGGGUAUAGGGGCGAAAGACUAAUCGAACCAUCUAGUAGCUGGUUCCUGCCGAAG
RNAcentral lists this ribosomal RNA (920 nucleotides) under Irpex rosettiformis. Its description in RNAcentral is "LSU rRNA". It matches the Rfam family "Eukaryotic large subunit ribosomal RNA", at positions 38 to 966 of the family's 3401-position model. The record is from RNAcentral. Lineage: Eukaryota; Fungi; Basidiomycota; Agaricomycetes; Polyporales; Irpicaceae.